UCUGAACACAAGCACGCUAUCUCACCCUGGCCACACACAAACCUAAACCUAAAUCGCACACCAGCCGCCGCCACACUUCCUCUCCGUCGAUCCGUUCAUGCCGCUGCACGUCCCACCAUCGCCCGCGGGGGCCUGCGCCACCCGAAGCUCCCGUCCAUCUCAAAGUGCAGCUCCACCACCAGUAGCCUGAGGUGAAGCCCCGUCGUCAGCUCAUCCCGCGACCGACGCCGCGUCUGCCGAUUCGGUCGCGCCGCUGCGCCUCCACCGCCAGCGGCGCCACGCGGCCACCCGAAGCUCUUGCCCAGCCCGCGGUGCAUCCCGACGUGUCGCCCUGGCGAUGGACGACCCGCCCAUCGAUUUGCGCUGGUGCUUCUCCGACUGCCAUUAGUCCCCCCCAAAGGAUCCUUAUACCCUGUGCUUCCAUCCACAACCAAGGAGCCACACAAACCCCUGCAUCCCGAGGUGCCAGCCAGCCGUCCCUCUUCCACCUCCGGUGAUGGCUCCCCUAUUCCCCCUUGUCCUGCCCUCCUUUGAAUCCAACCGUUGCAUCCUCGUCUUCAAUUGAAUCUAUUUACAGAGGGAAAACUCCACAAGAGGCUUCUGAAGCUUGGUCAACACCUACAUGAGGAUUAUGAAAGAUUGAUCCAAGCCAGCUUCAGAAGGAGCUCAAGGCAUACAGGAAGACCGAGGACGAGGGGAUGAACACACUUUUGAACACUACCUCCAUUUCUGUGCAGUUUCUCUCAAGAUGCAAGCUGAAAUGCUGGUGAUCAAGAAGAACAGUCCUGUGAAUGGCAUCAUCAAGCUCAUCGAACAGCAUCACAUCACAAACCAUGUCAUGGGAACAUCUUCCUUCUCACCGUGUGUCCAGAUCAAAUACAGCUUCAUAACAAGGAUUCAUCUAUAAACAUGCACAUCAAAAUUGCCCGCAGACUUCUAUAUAUAUAUAUAUAUACAUACUGAUUUUUUAGGUAGGAGGUCAUAUUCUUUAAGGAUCCAUUUGAUCCACUUGUUCAUUGUAAAUACUGAUUUGUGCACCAAACUUCAGUCAUGCCUUGUUCCAACUGAGGCAUCCCUGCACUAUGCAUAUACGUGAUUUUGUUUUACUGCUAGCAAUGUGUCCCAUUUAUUUUAUACUUCUUAGAUGUUCGCCUUAAACUGGUGCACAUAAUUUUCACUAGUCUGGUCAGUAUAAACGACAUGUUUGACAACUACAUUUCAUUCUUUUUUGAUAGAAGCUGGUAUAUGCCAAGUUGCCAACCUAUUUUACCUUGUUCACUAUGUGACUUCUUUUGUAUAACCUAUCUGUCUGAAUACCAUUUGCACAAAUCUCUCUGCAUGAACUUGCUAUGCUAGGUUGUCUUAGUACCAUGUGUUUCUUAAUGACAUUUGAAGUGCAGGUUACAUCUGAUCUCUAAUGCAUUUGCAUUGUAAUAUUGUAACGUAAUCAAUUUUGAAGGUGAUCUUAGUAUUGGGCAAUUUCUUAUAGUUCAAUCUUUACUGGUGUUACAAAUUUAGAAUAAUUGUAGUAUAGACAUCUGAAACUAAAAAGACUCAUUGGUUAUAUACAGGCACUAAGGUGUGAUAAAUCAUGAUGGCACACUAUCAACUUAUAUAAGUUCCUUGAGGGUAAAAGCAUGUAAUGAACAAGGUACUAGCUUUCUAUCCAUUCUUUUCUUUAUUCCGGCGUGAACUAUGUUGUCCUCCCUGAAAUGGUGAAAAAUGUCUAUAUAACCAUGUUAUGCAUGAUUUUGCUAUGUGUGUAACAUUUCAAGGGCAACUUCUUAGCUCAACUGAUGGCUGGAUGUCCUUUAUUACAAGCGUGCAUGCUCUAACCAUUUGUUCUUUCUUAUCGUGAUGGAAGAUGUAACACCAUUUACUUGCUAGGUCACUUUCUUACAUUUUCUAAACAGAAUCAUUCGAGUUUCAAUGCUAAAUCAGAUUUGCUUACUAAAGGAUAUCAAUAAUUAUGCUAGUUCUAUGAAUAGUUUAGUGUCUUGUAGAUGAACUGAGCGCAUGUAGUAAUUAAAUGGACUAUAGAUGAACUCAGAGCACAUAGUAAAUGGCUGGCAAGAUUUUAUUAUAAAUUUUGUGAAGAUCAUCCUAGCAAUUACUCACACUAGACAAUGCCUAACUAGAGUGCAUCUAUUGAACCAAGAUGCAUGUGCAACCAUAUGGUCUUCGAAAUGGCUUUUUUUUACCAAGUGCAUUUCCUGCUUUCACACAUAUGACUGGUGGUACAUGUACAAGUGCAUAUCUGAUUAUUUGAUGGUUGAGGACCUUCAAAUACAAAUUUGUAAAGUUACAAUAAGAACCUUAUUUCUUAUGCCUUGGAACAGAUCUGAGUCAAUGAGUGCAUAAUUUUUCUAUUAAGGCAUGUGAUAAACUAGUUGCUAGCUUGACUUUUGUUGGUACUUUGUUAAGGAUAUCUUCUGUAACCAAAUUAUUUGUAGUACAUCUUCUAUUUUUAGAUCUUUGGGAUCAAAGGCAACUCACAAAUUUGAGCAAAUUCUCAUUUCUAAUAUUGCUCAAACAUGUAAGUUCUUUUGCAGCGAAAUGGCUCAUCUAGAGGUUGAUACAAGAUGUUUUGAUGGUCGGUUUUGUUCACAACAUGUUUGACACAUUUUGUGGAUAUGGAAGUUGAUGUCAGCUUGGUGAUCGAAGAGAUUUGGUCUCUUCCUUAAUAUUUUGUAGUAGUCAAGUGAUCGAACAAUUGGGUCUCUUAGGAGCCUGGCCAUCAUAUUUUGUAACAGACCAUGUCUUGUAUGUCAACUUAUUUACUUAUUGGUUGUAGCUGACUUGAGUGUAGCAAACUACUGAAUCUUGUAUUAAUCAAUGGUAUGUUCUGAUGAAUCGAAGAGUAUGUUUUGUUUGUA
Molecule: long non-coding RNA, 2876 nt
Organism: Triticum urartu
Lineage: Eukaryota; Viridiplantae; Streptophyta; Magnoliopsida; Poales; Poaceae
Source: RefSeq, a predicted model, not a curated record